This 433-nucleotide ribosomal RNA is filed under the name uncultured bacterium. Its description in RNAcentral is "partial 16S ribosomal RNA". It matches the Rfam family "Bacterial small subunit ribosomal RNA", at positions 29 to 507 of the family's 1533-position model. The record is from RNAcentral.
AACGAACGCUGGCGGCAUGCCUAACACAUGCAAGUCGAACGAGACCUUCGGGUCUAGUGGCGCACGGGUGCGUAACGCGUGGGAACCUGCCCUUAGGUUCGGAAUAACUCCCCGAAAGGGGUGCUAAUACCGGAUAAUGUCUUCGGACCAAAGAUUUAUCGCCUUUGGAUGGGCCCGCGUUGGAUUAGCUAGUUGGUAGGGUAAAAGCCUACCAAGGCGACGAUCCAUAGCUGGUCUGAGAGGAUGAUCAGCCACACUGGGACUGAGACACGGCCCAGACUCCUACGGGAGGCAGCGGUGGGGAAUAUUGGACAAGGGGCGAAAGCCUGAUCCAGCAAUGCCGCGUGAGUGAUGAAGGCCUUAGGGUUGUAAAGCUCUUUUACCCGGGAUGAUAAUGACAGUACCGGGAGAAUAAGCUCCGGCUAACUCCGUG